Molecule: unclassified non-coding RNA, 328 nt
Filed under: soil metagenome
Description: partial contains 5.8S ribosomal RNA, internal transcribed spacer 2, and large subunit ribosomal RNA
Rfam family: 5.8S ribosomal RNA (bases 1-120)
Source: RNAcentral
GAUGAAGAACGCAGCGAAAUGCGAUAAGUAAUGUGAAUUGCAGAAUUCAGUGAAUCAUCGAAUCUUUGAACGCACAUUGCGCCCCCUGGUAUUCCGGGGGGCAUGCCUGUCCGAGCGUCAUUACAACCCUCAAGCUCAGCUUGGUAUUGGGCCCCGCCGACCCGGCGGGCCCUAAAGUCAGUGGCGGUGCCGUCCGGCUCCGAGCGUAGUAAUUCUUCUCGCUCUGGAGGUCCGGUCGUGUGCUCGCCAGCAACCCCCAAUUUUUUUCAGGUUGACCUCGGAUCAGGUAGGGAUACCCGCUGAACUUAAGCAUAUCAUAAGCGGAGGA